This 301-nucleotide ribosomal RNA is filed under the name uncultured bacterium. RNAcentral describes it as "partial 16S ribosomal RNA". It matches the Rfam family "Bacterial small subunit ribosomal RNA", at positions 509 to 807 of the family's 1533-position model. The record is from RNAcentral.
CAGCAGCCACGGGAAUACGUAGGGUGCGAGCGUUAGUCGGAAUUACUGGGCGUAAAGCGUGCGCAGGCGGUUCGUUAAGACAGAUGUGAAAUCCCCGGGCUUAACCUGGGAACUGCAUUUGUGACUGGCGAGCUAGAGUAUGGCAGAGGGGGGUAGAAUUCCACGUGUAGCAGUGAAAUGCGUAGAGAUGUGGAGGAAUACCGAUGGCGAAGGCAGCCCCCUGGGCCAAUACUGACGCUCAUGCACGAAAGCGUGGGGAGCAAACAGGAUUAGAUACCCCUGUAGUCCCUGUCUCUUAUAC